UUAAGCAUAUCAAUAAGCGGAGGAAAAGAAACCAACAGGGAUUGCCUCAGUAACGGCGAGUGAAGCGGCAAAAGCUCAAAUUUGAAAUCUGGCUCUUUCAGGGUCCGAGUUGUAAUUUGUAGAAGAUGUUUCGGGUGUGGUCCCAGUCUAAGUUCCCUGGAACUGGACAUCACAGAGGGUGAGAAUCCCGUAUGUGACUGGGUACCUACGUCCAUGUGAAACUCUUUCGACGAGUCGAGUUGUUUGGGAAUGCAGCUCAAAAUGGGUGGUAAAUUUCAUCUAAAGCUAAAUAUUGGCCAGAGACCGAUAGCGCACAAGUAGAGUGAUCGAAAGAUGAAAAGCACUUUGGAAAGAGAGUUAAACAGUACGUGAAAUUGUUGAAAGGGAAGGGCAUGCAAUCAGACUUGCGCCUAGUUGAUCAUCCGGGCUUUUGCCCGGUGCACUCGAUUAGGCUCAGGCCAGCAUCAGUUUAGAGGGUUGGAUAAAGGCCUUGGGAAUGUGGCCCCUCUCGGGGGGUGUUAUAGCCCAAGGUGCAAUGCAGCCACUCUGGACUGAGGACCGCGCUUCGGCUAGGAUGCUGGCGUAAUGGUUGUAUGCCGCCCGUCUUGAAACACGGACCAAGGAGUCUAACAUCUAUGCGAGUAUUUGGGUGUUAAACCCAUAUGCGUAAUGAAAGUGAACGGAGGUGAGAGCCCUUAAGGGUGCAUCAUCGACCGAUCCUGAUGUCUUCGGAUGGAUUUGAGUAAGAGCAUAGCUGUUGGGACCCGAAAGAUGGUGAACUAUGCGUGAAUAGGGUGAAGCCAGAGGAAACUCUGGUGGAGGCUCGCAGCGGUUCUGACGUGCAAAUCGAUCGUCAAAUUUGCGUAUAGGGGCGAAAGACUAAUCGAACCAUCUAGUAGCUGGUUCCUGCCGAAGUUUCCCUCAGGA
RNAcentral lists this ribosomal RNA (927 nucleotides) under Lambertella corni-maris. RNAcentral describes it as "eukaryotic LSU rRNA". It matches the Rfam family "Eukaryotic large subunit ribosomal RNA", at positions 34 to 978 of the family's 3401-position model. The record is from RNAcentral. Lineage: Eukaryota; Fungi; Ascomycota; Leotiomycetes; Helotiales; Rutstroemiaceae.